AUGUGGCUUGUGGUGCACAGAAGGUGUCUCGCGGCAGAUAACCUGGAACGCAGAAAUUGGCCGUCCAGUGGAUCGUGCCCCCUCUGUCUGUCAGUGCCGGAGGACUACACUCACCUUUUCGUUCACUGUCAUUAUACUCAGCAGGUUUGGAUGCACUUUAAAUCCUGGUCGGAUGCGGAUUUUCUAAUCCAUGAUCCUAGUUUUAUAUCCACGGAGGACUGGUGGUUGAGGGCUAGGGAUGCGAUCCCUAAGGCUAUCAGGAAGAACUUUGACUAGGUGAUUAUUCCGCUGCACCGGAGGGUUUGGAAGGAAAGGAAUGCCAGGAUUUUUGAUCAGAUGGCCAGCUCACCUUAGGUCUUGGAACGGAUUAAAGAGGACAUGUCCAUGUGGAGGGCUGCGGGAUGCAUCCCUGAUCUUCCUACUUAG
This 426-nucleotide ribosomal RNA is filed under the name Triticum aestivum (bread wheat). RNAcentral's name for it is "partial small subunit ribosomal RNA". The record is from RNAcentral. Lineage: Eukaryota; Viridiplantae; Streptophyta; Magnoliopsida; Poales; Poaceae.